Molecule: small nucleolar RNA, 219 nt
Organism: Nannospalax galili (Upper Galilee mountains blind mole rat)
Lineage: Eukaryota; Metazoa; Chordata; Mammalia; Rodentia; Spalacidae
Gene: U3
Rfam family: Small nucleolar RNA U3
About the family: Small nucleolar RNAs (snoRNAs) are involved in the processing and modification of rRNA in the nucleolus.
Source: Ensembl
AAGACUAUACUUUCAGGGAUUGUUUCUAUAGUUUGUAACUAGAGAAGCUUCUAUGAACUGUGUAGAGUACCAGAAACCACGAGGAUGAGACAUGCCGUUCUCUCCUGAGCGUGAAGCUGGCUUUUGGUGUUGCUAUUUUCUGUAACUGCCACUUGUCAUUGAUGAUCAUUCUUCUCUUCCUUUGAGAGAGUUAGAGAGAGGGAUCACAGACUGAGUGAA